GAAAACCUGAAUCGUUUUAUUUUCUUCUUUUCUCUUCCUCAUCUCCUUCACACUUCUUCUUCCUCUCUAGGGUUAAGAGUAGGGAGAAGCCAAGGUUUUUGCUAAGCAGCCAUGAGUGAGACGAGAGAUAAGCAUUGCAUACCCAGAUCCGUUUCUUACAACCCAAAUUCUUCGUUGUUGUUCUCCUUUAGCUCUUCCUUUACUCUCCGUAGCUCUCACCUUCUCAUUAAAAUGUCAAUUUCAUCUCGUCGGAGAAGGUUUGUUGUUUCUCUCUCUCUUUCCCCCUUUGAAUCUGGGUUUGGAAUUAGGGUUACUUAGAUAUGUUAUUCUUCUUCUACGGUUUUGAGUCUAUUGAGCAAAGGACUGCAAGAGGUUUUACAGAUCGAAAUCACCGAAGAAGAUUUUUCUCACUAGGACCGACUAUGACAGAGGAGUCAACACUUUUUCUCCCGAAGGAAAGCUGUUCCAAGUUGAAUAUGUCAUUGAAGCUAUCAAGGAGGACUAGUGGCCCUAUUAGACGAGCUAAAGGUGGUUGAACUCUUGAGGAUGAGACACUUAGACGAGCUGUUGACAAGUUUAAGGGGAAGAGGUGGAAGAAAAUAUGUAAAUUUUCUUUCCUUGAUCAAAGUCAUCAAAGUCAAAGUUUUCAUAGGUUUCAAUUUCAAGUCAUGAGUUUGUUAAUGGAUUUAUGUCUACCUUGAUUGAUUUUUUUCUUUGGUGGGUUUCUCUCAGAUCAAGUGUCAGCUAUUUUGGUUGAGUCUUGUAUUGCUGGUUAUGCCGGUGUAACUACAAGCUCCAUGGUUAUUGGGGCAGUAGGUGGCUUAAAGAACUCAAGGCUCAACUCGGCUCAACUCUGUGUCACCAAAGUCACCGAAGGUACUCAAAACAAGCUCUCUAAUAGCAUAUCACUUUGCUGUAUCAUUUUCUGUAUAUUUAGGCUAUUAAUACUUCUUCUUCAUGAGUUUGUGUUGCUUAGUUGCAGGUUGAAGCUGAUUACGUGAUGAGCUUUAGGAUAUGAUCUGUUUAUGUAUUUUCUAAUCUUUGACUUGUUAAAUCUCUUUGUUGGGAACUUGCAUGAGUGAGGACCACAAGAAGACAGGUCGUGACUCUUGAGUAAGAAUGGGUUAUAUUUAAGAAGCAAGUUGGAGUUCCUGAAGCUGGAGGACUUCAAGAAGGCGAAGGAGAAGGUUAUAUUUAAGAAGCAAGUUGGAGUUCUUGAAGCUUUUAACGUCUGUUCAUGAACUUUUUUCGAUGGUAUGUAGUAAAUAUUGUAUAAGACUUGGUUUGAUGACUUGUUGUAGUCUAAGAUAUGGUAUGUAGGUUUUGGAUAAUUUAUUUAAUAUUUUUUUUUUAAAUAAA
Molecule: non-coding RNA, 1359 nt
Organism: Camelina sativa (false flax)
Lineage: Eukaryota; Viridiplantae; Streptophyta; Magnoliopsida; Brassicales; Brassicaceae
Source: RefSeq, a predicted model, not a curated record